UGUUUUCUCUUCCCAGUGAUGCCCAGGAUGCUAGCGAGCGGCUACAGAUACGACUCAUUUCAUGUGGAGCAGCAAUGGAAGCUACUCGAACAACCACGGUGACCAAGAUCAACGUCCGUGGCCAUAUUUGGGCGAACUCUUUUCUUUUGUCGGAGUGAAAGUUUCUUCCUACCGGAUGAAGUGCCUCUUAUGCCGACCGAAAGCUACGGAGAUACUGGCCUUCAACAACUCACCAACCUCAGGAAACACAUUGAGGAAUGGACUACAUCAAGCAGCACAUGGAAGAACCCUCCCUGCAGCUAUGUGAUGCCACCAGGUCCAGUUCAUCUGAUGAAGAGGACUUCUUCUUCAUCUCAAGCGCAUGACAGCAGCAAACAGCUGGAUGGAGACGUGGAUCACGUUGACUUGCUGAAAUGCUUCCCAACUGUGUGCUGCUGUCUGUGAAGCUAGACACACUCUACCUGCAUCAGGGCCUGUGAAGCUAGACACACUCUACCUGCACCAGGGCCUGUGAAGCUAGACACACUCUACCUGCACCAUCAGGGCCUGUGAAGCUAGACACACUCUACCUGCAUCAUGUGAACGGCUCUUCAGCAUCGCAGGACUCGUCUUCAGCCCCAGAAGAGCGACGCUGACAUCUGUCCAUUUUGAAAAUCAACUUCUUUUGAAGAUGAACAAGAAUUUGUUCACUUUAAAGUGAUGAUUCUGGUUGUUACUUUUGGUUCUGCUUUUUUCUGUGUUAAACGUGUUUUUAUAUUUUAGUAAUUUCAUAGUAUUCAUAUAUUGCUAAGUUCAUCCGAGCUCAUACUCCUUGUUCAUGGCGGCCACAGCACCCAAACAAAUAAACUUCAUAAUUCUCAAAA
Molecule: long non-coding RNA, 863 nt
Organism: Pseudoliparis swirei
Lineage: Eukaryota; Metazoa; Chordata; Actinopteri; Perciformes; Liparidae
Exons: 2
Source: RefSeq, a predicted model, not a curated record